Molecule: transfer RNA, 56 nt
Filed under: Fukomys damarensis (Damara mole-rat)
Lineage: Eukaryota; Metazoa; Chordata; Mammalia; Rodentia; Bathyergidae
Rfam family: tRNA
About the family: Transfer RNA (tRNA) molecules are approximately 80 nucleotides in length.
Source: Rfam by way of RNAcentral
AGCUCAGUGGUAGAGUGCUUGCCUAGCAAGCAUGAGGCCCUGGGUUCCAUCCCCUG